CUACGGGAUGCUGCAGGCGAGAAAACUUUGCAAUGUGCGAAAGCACGACAAGGUUAAUCCGAGUGGUUUGUGCUAAACGAACCUUUUGACAGUCCUAGAAACACUGUUGAAUAAGGGGUGGGCAAGUUCUGGUGUCAGCCGCCGCGGUAAAACCAGCACCUCAAGUGGUCAGGAUGAUUAUUGGGCCUAAAGCAUCCGUAGCCGGCUCUGUAAGUUUUCGGUUAAAUCUGUACGCUCAACGUACAGGCUGACGGGAAUACUGCAGAGCUAGGGAGUGGAGAGGUAGACGGUACUCGGUAGGAAGGGGUAAAAUCCUUUGAUCUAUUGAUGACCACCUGUGGCGAAGGCGGUCUACCCGAACACGUCCGACGGUGAGGGAUGAAAGCUGGGGGAGCAAACCGGAUUAGAUACCCCGGUAGUC
Molecule: ribosomal RNA, 421 nt
Filed under: uncultured archaeon
Lineage: Archaea
Description: partial 16S ribosomal RNA
Rfam family: Archaeal small subunit ribosomal RNA
Source: RNAcentral